UCCGUAGGUGAACCUGCGGAAGGAUCAUUAAAGAUUUGGCCCUUGGGCCUAAAUCCACCUCUUUGGCUGUGCGCCUUUGGGCUGCACGCCAUUGAGUAAACCCACACACACCAUGUGCACCCACAUUUGGUUGUGGCAGGUCCUAGGAUCGGCCGCUUCCAAAACAAUUUACAUGUAACCAGUUCAGAAUGUAACAAAACUAUAAAGUAACAACUUUCAACAACGGAUCUCUUGGCUCUCGCAUCGAUGAAGAACGCAGCGAAUUGCGAUACGUAAUGUGAAUUGCAGAAUUCAGUGAAUCAUCGAAUCUUUGAACGCAUCUUGCGCUCCUUGGUAUUCCAUGGAGCAUGCCUGUUUGAGUGUCACGUAAACCCUCACCCUUGUGAUGUCAAAGUCACGAGGCGUGGAUUUGGACCGUGCCGUAAUUGGCUCGUCCUGAAAUGCAUUAGCUUGCGCCUUUUAGAGUGCUCGGCAUGGUGUGAUAAUUAUCUGCGCCGUCGCCUUAGGCCUCUUCUGUGAGUGCUGCUUCCAAUCGUCCCCAGUGGACAACAUAUUACAAACUUUUGGACCUCAAAUCCAGGGGGGGUAGGGGGACUACCCCGGCUGGAACUUAAGGCAUAUCAAAUGAC
Molecule: ribosomal RNA, 629 nt
Filed under: uncultured fungus
Lineage: Eukaryota; Fungi
Description: eukaryotic LSU rRNA
Rfam family: 5.8S ribosomal RNA (bases 212-365)
Source: RNAcentral